GGCGAAAUGGCCGAGUGGUUAAGGCGGCUGAUUAGAAUUCCCUGUAAAGUUCUAAGCAUCAUCUGGACUCUGUCCGCGCAGGUUCGAGUCCUGCUUUCGUCG
Molecule: non-coding RNA, 102 nt
Organism: Jaminaea rosea
Lineage: Eukaryota; Fungi; Basidiomycota; Exobasidiomycetes; Microstromatales
Source: the annotation of a RefSeq genome assembly